GGCCGAGUGGCCCAAUGGCAAGGCGUCUGACUACGAAUCAGAAGAUUGUGGGUUCGAAUCCCAUCUUGGUCA
This is a non-coding RNA of Camillea tinctor, 72 nucleotides long. Lineage: Eukaryota; Fungi; Ascomycota; Sordariomycetes; Xylariales; Graphostromataceae. The record is from the annotation of a GenBank genome assembly.